Pelobates cultripes (western spadefoot toad) is the source of this 214-nucleotide non-coding RNA. NCBI's taxonomy places the organism in Eukaryota, Metazoa, Chordata, Amphibia, Anura, Pelobatidae. The record is from the annotation of a GenBank genome assembly.
CAGCUAUCCAUUUAUAAAGCAGUUCCAUUCAAAGUGAUUAGUGUAACUUUGAGUGGAGAUAAACUACUUAUCCAGCAAACUGCUGGACCAGAGUUUAUGGAUUAAGACCUGUCCUUAAAGACAAAAAUGAGAGAGGCUGGAAAACAGUGGAGGGUAGGAUUUGUCUGAAAUAGUAAUCAGCUUCUACAAACAAAUGGAUAGACCUAAACUGUUC